GGCUAUGUAGCUAAGUGGCAGAGCACUCGCCCCGGCAAGCGAGAUACAUGAGGGUUCGAUUCCCUGUCUAGUCU
Molecule: transfer RNA, 74 nt
Filed under: Orchesella cincta
Lineage: Eukaryota; Metazoa; Arthropoda; Collembola; Entomobryomorpha; Orchesellidae
Rfam family: tRNA
About the family: Transfer RNA (tRNA) molecules are approximately 80 nucleotides in length. Their secondary structure includes four short double-helical elements and three loops (D, anti-codon, and T loops).
Source: Rfam by way of RNAcentral